GCAGUCGAACGAUGAAGCUCCAGCUUGCUGGAGUGGAUUAGUGGCGAACGGGUGAGUAACACGUGAGCAACCUGCCCCGAACUUCGGGAUAACAGUUGGAAACAGCUGCUAAUACCGAAUAUGCACCAGAACGGCAUCGUUACUGGUGGGAAAGAUUUAUCGGUUCGGGAGGGGCUCGCGGCCUAUCAGCUUGUUGGUGAGGUAAUGGCUCACCAAGGCGUCGACGGGUAGCCGGCCUGAGAGGGUGACCGGCCACACUGGGACUGAGACACGGCCCAGACUCCUACGGGAGGCAGCAGUGGGGAAUAUUGCACAAUGGGCGCAAGCCUGAUGCAGCAACGCCGCGUGAGGGACGACGGCCUUCGGGUUGUAAACCUCUUUUAGUAGGGAAGAAGCCUUCGGGUGACGGUACCUGCAGAAAAAGCGCCGGCUAACUACGUGCCAGCAGCCGCGGUAAUACGUAGGGCGCAAGCGUUAUCCGGAAUUAUUGGGCGUAAAGAGCUCGUAGGCGGUUUGUCACGUCUGCUGUGAAAACUGGAGGCUCAACCUCCAGCCUGCAGUGGGUACGGGCAGACUAGAGUGCGGUAGGGGAGAUUGGAAUUCCUGGUGUAGCGGUGGAAUGCGCAGAUAUCAGGAGGAACACCGAUGGCGAAGGCAGAUCUCUGGGCCGUAACUGACGCUGA
Molecule: ribosomal RNA, 683 nt
Filed under: Microbacterium gubbeenense
Lineage: Bacteria; Bacillati; Actinomycetota; Actinomycetes; Micrococcales; Microbacteriaceae
Also listed under: 1 other name
Description: bacterial SSU rRNA
Rfam family: Bacterial small subunit ribosomal RNA
Source: RNAcentral